Molecule: transfer RNA, 75 nt
Filed under: Clostridia bacterium
Lineage: Bacteria; Bacillati; Bacillota; Clostridia
Description: tRNA-Glu
Rfam family: tRNA
About the family: Transfer RNA (tRNA) molecules are approximately 80 nucleotides in length. Their secondary structure includes four short double-helical elements and three loops (D, anti-codon, and T loops).
Source: RNAcentral
GGCCCCUUGGUCAAGCGGUUAAGACAUCGCCCUUUCACGGCGGUAACAUGGGUUCAAGUCCCGUAGGGGUCACCA